CCGGUAGCUCAGUUGGUAGAGCAAGGGACUGAAAAUCCCUGUGUCGGCGGUUCGAUUCCGCCCUGGG
Molecule: transfer RNA, 67 nt
Filed under: human gut metagenome
Also listed under: 1 other name
Rfam family: tRNA
About the family: Transfer RNA (tRNA) molecules are approximately 80 nucleotides in length. Their secondary structure includes four short double-helical elements and three loops (D, anti-codon, and T loops). Further hydrogen bonds mediate the characteristic L-shaped molecular structure. tRNAs have two regions of fundamental functional importance: the anti-codon, which is responsible for specific mRNA codon recognition, and the 3' end, to which the tRNAs corresponding amino acid is attached (by aminoacyl-tRNA synthetases). tRNAs cope with the degeneracy of the genetic code in two manners: having more than one tRNA (with a specific anti-codon) for a particular amino acid; and 'wobble' base-pairing, i.e. permitting non-standard base-pairing at the 3rd anti-codon position.
Source: RNAcentral